UAUGCUUGUCUCAAAGAGUAAGCCAUGCACGUGUAAAAAAAAACUCUUUUGUACUGUGAAGCUGAGAAUGGGUCAUUAAAUCAGUUAUAGUUUCUUUGAUGGUACCCUGCUACUCGGAUAACCGUAGUAAUUCUAGAGAUAAUACGUGCACAAACUCCCGACUGGCCCCCUUCGCGGGGGUGUGGAAGGGACGUAUUUAUUGGAUAAAAGGCAGAUGCGGGCUUGCCCGGUGUUGCGGUGAAUCAUGAUAACUUGUCGAAUCGCACGGCCCUUUGCGCUGGCGAUGUUUCAUUCAAAUUUCUGCCCUAUCAACUUUCGAUGGUAGGAUAGAGGCCUCCCCUGUUGUAAAAGGGGUGACGGAGAAUAUGUUCGAUCCGGGGAGGGGGC
RNAcentral lists this ribosomal RNA (387 nucleotides) under uncultured eukaryote. RNAcentral's name for it is "partial 18S ribosomal RNA". It matches the Rfam family "Eukaryotic small subunit ribosomal RNA", at positions 27 to 395 of the family's 1831-position model. The record is from RNAcentral.